Haplochromis burtoni (Burton's mouthbrooder) is the source of this 2474-nucleotide long non-coding RNA. RefSeq lists it as uncharacterized. NCBI's taxonomy places the organism in Eukaryota, Metazoa, Chordata, Actinopteri, Cichliformes, Cichlidae. The record is from RefSeq and is a predicted model, not a curated record. The transcript has 2 exons.
GUGUGUGUGUGUGUGUGUGUGUGUGUGUGUGUGUGUGUGUGUGUGUGUGUGUGUGUGUGUGUGUGUUGUGUCUCGUUGACUCUAAAAUGCAGGAUUGGGACAAUAACAGGAUGUGUCCUUCCCAGAAAAUGUCACAAAUCAUCGAGUUAUCAAACAUGGCGGCAGUCAUCGUAGAUAUGCCAUUGUUUCUCUGAGUGUGGUUUUUGCCUUUGCAUGCAAAUGCCUCAGCUACUCACAAAAAGCAUUAACCGUGUAUGGCAGCAGUUAUAUAAUGCACAGAACGCACAAAUCCAUUUAAAAAAAUAAAGUCACAACACAUCUGAACCAUAAAGGACUCUUUCUCUCAACUUUCCAUACGUGCAUGCUGGCUUUGAGAACCGCGAGUAACACUAAUGAGGUGUGGCCUCUGAAAACACGGCGAUCAGCUGUGCAGAAGAAUUACACUGACCAAGCUGGCAGCUGUUUGUGAAGAAGAGGCUCCUGUGAUAGACGCUUUUCCAGAUUUCAAGGCAACCCUUGGACAUUAGCCUGUGCUGUCUGUGUCAGAUCACAUUUAACCCUGAUGCAUUUAAGGACAAAGCAUCGGCCUGACAUUUGUGCUGAUUCCUCUGGGCUCUUUACCCAGAAUGCAGCUUGCUUGGGAAUUGCUCGGACAUGGAAGGGAACAUCCCUGUGGGAAGGCAGCAGGCACACAAGAGUACACAGUGAGACGAGGAAGAAAAAUAAAUAAAAAUAACAUGCACGCAUACUCAGAGAUGACACAUUUGGUCACAUGCAUACAUAAAGACACGCUGAAAACAUUGUGACACUGGGAUAAAAGUGUGAAAGAGAUGGAAAGAUGGAAGCAUCCCAGUCCAGACACAGAGACACAACAGAAGCCUUCCAAGCUUUUAAAUUCAGCUUAGAUGUCUUUAAUUUCCAAACAUUUUUUCUGCCACUGGAGCUAAACCAUGUGUCUUUUCUUUCUUAGCGAAAGAGCUUGGCUCUGUGAAAUGGGCCUCCGUUAUGGGCUACGGUGUUAUCAAGACCAAACUCAACUGUCAGCCAAAUCAUGUUCAAUCUGCAUGUGUUGCUUUUGAUUUUACCCAGAUCAAUAGCUGUCCUUACUUGACUUAAACACACACACACACUCAGAGGGAAGGGGGAGGGCAUGCAGAUCUGUGGCUCUGGUGUGUCAAAGUCAGCGAGUGCGUGGGAGGAAACGUUCAACAUGAGCUGCCCUGGCAGCCUGCAGUGAAGGGAAAAGAAAGUGAGAAAGAAAAAAGAGAGAAAAAAUAGUGGGGUCUAUACCACACUGCUUGCUGUGUGCGCCCUAUUUGAAGGUAUACCGUAAGCUGAAUCUAUAAAGGUGAGAUAAUCCUCUACUAUUAAAGGUCAUUGCUCCAGACUUGGGUUUAACUCUGGCCUGUGAUUCCUGCCUUUUUAAUGUUUCACCAAAGCACAGUUCAAAUUCAUGUGAAAAAUCACUGGAAACGCAGCUCAGAUAAGUAAAUAAUAUCGCUUUUUGUGUACCUGACUUAUCAAACAACACGUGACGCUGCCACCAGGAUUUGAAGAUAAGGUUGUAUUCGAGUCACUGUGCAUCAGCACAAACCUUUCAACAAGCUUCUCUCUACAAGCUCUCUGCCUGGAAUAAUGCUGAGUCUGCUUUCAACACCUACACCGUGACAAUAAGGAUCCGAGAGCGUCACCGUCUGCAAGCGCUGACCCAACUUCCUCUGUGUGCACUCAACAGAAAUGAUAAGGCUUCCACUUCCCCCUCCACCCUGACUCGGGCAAACAGCUGCCCUGCAGCCCCAGACUGGGUCCUCCGUGUCAGCAUCGGGCCUGACUGCACGUUGCUCUGUGUGGACUUGAUGGAGCACGCAGAUAAGGCGCACUGUUGUGGCUGGGUUUCCUUUAAAGCAGUAUGCGAUCGUUGGAGGAUAGGUUCUAGCAAGUAACCCCUAUGUUUGGAUCCCUUUGUGUCUGCUUGUGUGUGCAUGUAUGGACUGAGUAUCAUGGAAAAGCACUCAUAUCCUUCAUUUAAACAAAGCAAUAUAGCGGUCCAAAAAUACGUCAUUAUGUGCACGUGCAAAUCUGUUUCUUUAUCUUUAUUUUUUUUUAUAAUUAUCAGCAAAAUCUCUUUUAAGCAUCAAAAGUGAAAACACUCAUUCAGUAGAAAAUAAUGACCAAACAUGAUUGAUGGUGUUUUUAUUUGUGUGUGGUUUUUAUGUCUAAGAUCCUUGUUUAUUCUUGUAAAUGAGCUCUAACCUGCAGGAUUUCCAAAGCGGUCAUAUAUCAAGUACAGAAAUGACAUCGUGACUUUGCACUGCUGUACCUACUCCAACCAGUCCUUUAUGGACACUUAAAAUAUCUUUAUGAAACUGUUGUUAUAUUUGUUGCAAUCUUUGCUGCCCUCUUGGCCUGAUCUCCAAAAAAUUAAAUUAUAAUGAGACUUUUUACCGGGGUAAAUAAAGAAUAUAUAAAAGUCA